RNAcentral lists this ribosomal RNA (313 nucleotides) under uncultured archaeon. RNAcentral describes it as "bacterial SSU rRNA". It matches the Rfam family "Archaeal small subunit ribosomal RNA", at positions 1032 to 1343 of the family's 1478-position model. The record is from RNAcentral.
AGUCAGGUAACGAGCGAGAUCCCUGCCUUUAGUUCGUACCAUUAUUCUCAGGAGUAGUGGAGCUAAUUAGAGGGACCGCCGUCGCUGAAACGGAGGAAGGUGGGGCUACGGCAGGUCAGUAUGCCCCGAAAACCUCGGGCCACACGCGGGCUGCAAUGGUUAAGGAUAAUGAGUUUCGAUUCCGAAAGGAGGAGGCAAUCUCUAAACCUUACCACUGAUAUGAUUGAGGGCUGAAACUCGCCCUCAUGAAUAUGGAAUGCCUAGUAACCGCGUGUCACUAUCGCGCGGUGAAUACGUCCCUGCUCCUUGCACA